CCGAUAGUGAACCAGUACCGUGAGGGAAAGGCGAAAAGAACCCCGGCGAGGGGAGUGAAAAAGAACCUGAAACCGUGUACGUACAAGCAGUGGGAGCACGCUUAGGCGUGUGACUGCGUACCUUUUGUAUAAUGGGUCAGCGACUUAUAUUCUGUAGCAAGGUUAACCGAAUAGGGGAGCCGAAGGGAAACCGAGUCUUAACUGGGCGUUAAGUUGCAGGGUAUAGACCCGAAACCCGGUGAUCUAGCCAUGGGCAGGUUGAAGGUUGGGUAACACUAACUGGAGGACCGAACCGACUAAUGUUGAAAAAUUAGCGGAUGACUUGUGGCUGGGGGUGAAAGGCCAAUCAAACCGGGAGAUAGCUGGUUCUCCCCGAAAGCUAUUUAGGUAGCGCCUCGUGAAUUCAUCUCCGGGGGUAGAGCACUGUUUCGGCAAGGGGGUCAUCCCGACUUACCAACCCGAUGCAAACUGCGAAUACCGGAGAAUGUUAUCACGGGAGACACACGGCGGGUGCUAACGUCCGUCGUGAAGAGGGAAACAACCCAGACCGCCAGCUAAGGUCCCAAAGUCAUGGUUAAGUGGGAAACGAUGUGGGAAGGCCCAGACAGCCAGGAUGUUGGCUUAGAAGCAGCCAUCAUUUAAAGAAAGCGUAAUAGCUCACUGGUCGAGUCGGCCUGCGCGGAAGAUGUAACGGGGCUAAACCAUGCACCGAAGCUGCGGCAGCGACGCUGAUGCGUUGUUGGGUAGGGGAGCGUUCUGUAAGCCUGCGAAGGUGUGCUGUGAGGCAUGCUGGAGGUAUCAGAAGUGCGAAUGCUGACAUAAGUAACGAUAAAGCGGGUGAAAAGCCCGCUCGCCGGAAGACCAAGGGUUCCUGUCCAACGUUAAUCGGGGCAGGGUGAGUCGACCCCUAAGGCGAGGCCGAAAGGCGUAGUCGAUGGGAAACAGGUUAAUAUUCCUGUACUUGGUGUUACUGCGAAGGGGGGACGGAGAAGGCUAUGUUGGCCGGGCGACGGUUGUCCCGGUUUAAGCGUGUAGGCUGGUUUUCCAGGCAAAUCCGGAAAAUCAAGGCUGAGGCGUGAUGACGAGGCACU
This 1091-nucleotide ribosomal RNA is filed under the name Escherichia coli. Its description in RNAcentral is "partial 23S ribosomal RNA". It matches the Rfam family "Bacterial large subunit ribosomal RNA", at positions 484 to 1578 of the family's 2925-position model. Lineage: Bacteria; Pseudomonadati; Pseudomonadota; Gammaproteobacteria; Enterobacterales; Enterobacteriaceae. The record is from RNAcentral.